Molecule: transfer RNA, 73 nt
Filed under: Mesocricetus auratus (golden hamster)
Lineage: Eukaryota; Metazoa; Chordata; Mammalia; Rodentia; Cricetidae
Rfam family: tRNA
About the family: Transfer RNA (tRNA) molecules are approximately 80 nucleotides in length. Their secondary structure includes four short double-helical elements and three loops (D, anti-codon, and T loops).
Source: Rfam by way of RNAcentral
GGUGAUGUGACUCAGUUGGUAAAGUGUUUGCCUAUUACGCAUAAAGCCCUAGGUUUGGACCCCAGCAAAACCA